Molecule: ribosomal RNA, 253 nt
Filed under: uncultured bacterium
Lineage: Bacteria
Description: partial 16S ribosomal RNA
Rfam family: Bacterial small subunit ribosomal RNA
Source: RNAcentral
UACAGAGGUCUCAAGCGUUGUUCGGAAUCACUGGGCGUAAAGGGUGCGUAGGCUGCACGGUAAGUCAGAGGUGAAAUCCCGGAGCUCAACUUCGGAAUUGCCUCCGAUACUGCCGUGCUUGAGGACUGGAGAGGAGAUUGGAAUUCACAGUGGAGCAGUGAAAUGCGUAGAUAUUGUGAGGAACACUAGUGGCGAAGGCGAAUCUCUGGACGGAUACUGACGCUGAGGAGCGAAAGCGUGGGGAGCGAACAGG